Pelobates cultripes (western spadefoot toad) is the source of this 230-nucleotide non-coding RNA. Lineage: Eukaryota; Metazoa; Chordata; Amphibia; Anura; Pelobatidae. The record is from the annotation of a GenBank genome assembly.
CUGUAUUCCCAUAAUGCAAGUCAUCUGUAUUGGGCCUUUAAGGCACAAACUGCACAUGCACGGGCGUCUUCCAAGUGCAUUUGCUGUCUAGAGACUGGGGAGAGAGCUUGGUCUGUAGCAUACAUGGCCCUUGAACACCCAGAGAACGGGAAUAAAUCUCUGGGACUGAGGGAAGCAUAAGAAAUAAAGAAAAAAUGCAUGCAAGGUGAUAAAAAGGCAACAAGGUGCAA